This 431-nucleotide ribosomal RNA is filed under the name uncultured bacterium. RNAcentral's name for it is "bacterial SSU rRNA". It matches the Rfam family "Bacterial small subunit ribosomal RNA", at positions 29 to 506 of the family's 1533-position model. The record is from RNAcentral.
ACGAACGCUGGCGGCAUGCCUAACACAUGCAAGUCGAACGAGACCUUCGGGUCUAGUGGCGCACGGGUGCGUAACGCGUGGGAAUCUGCCCUCUGGUACGGAAUAACUCAGGGAAACUUGAGCUAAUACCGUAUAAUGACUUCGGUCCAAAGAUUUAUCGCCUGAGGAUGAGCCCGCGUAGGAUUAGCUAGUUGGUGAGGUAAAAGCUCACCAAGGCGACGAUCCUUAGCUGGUCUGAGAGGAUGAUCAGCCACACUGGGACUGAGACACGGCCCAGACUCCUACGGGAGGCAGCAGUGGGGAAUAUUGGACAAUGGGCGAAAGCCUGAUCCAGCAAUGCCGCGUGAGUGAUGAAGGCCUUAGGGUUGUAAAGCUCUUUUACCCGGGAUGAUAAUGACAGUACCGGGAGAAUAAGCCCCGGCUAACUCCGU